AGAAUCAACGCUGGCGGCGUGCCUAACACAUGCAAGUCGCACGAGAAAGGGGCUUCGGCUCUGAGUAAAGUGGCGCACGGGUGAGUAACACGUGAAUAAUCUACCUCCGAGUGGGGAAUAACUGAGAGAAAUCUUAGCUAAUACCGCAUAACACUUACGAGUCAAAGCAGCAAUGCGCUUGGAGAGGAGUUCGCGGCCGAUUAGUUAGUUGGCGGAGUAAUGGCCCACCAAGACGAUGAUCGGUA
RNAcentral lists this ribosomal RNA (245 nucleotides) under uncultured bacterium. RNAcentral describes it as "partial small subunit ribosomal RNA". It matches the Rfam family "Bacterial small subunit ribosomal RNA", at positions 26 to 285 of the family's 1533-position model. The record is from RNAcentral.